UCCGUUUUAUCAACGGCAGUCUCAGUAGAGUGCCCGGCCGAACCGCUGGCAACUACUGACAAGGGUUGCGCUCGUUGCGGGACUUAACCCAACAUCUCACGACACGAGCUGACGACAGCCAUGCAGCACCUUGCACCGUGCCUGGUUUUAGCCAGGAGACCCCAUCUCUGAGGCUGUCACGGGCAUUCUAGCCCAGGUAAGGUUCUUCGCGUUGCGUCGAAUUAAACCACAUGCUCCACCGCUUGUGCGGGUCCCCGUCAAUUCCUUUGAGUUUCGGCCUUGCGGCCGUGCUCCCCAGGCGGGGCACUUACUGCGUUAGCGACGGCACCGGGAGGGUCGCUCCCCCCGACGCCUAGUGCCCAUCGUUUACGGCGUGGACUAC
This 382-nucleotide unclassified non-coding RNA is filed under the name uncultured bacterium. RNAcentral's name for it is "contains 16S-23S intergenic spacer region". The record is from RNAcentral.